GGAUGACACUUUUCGGAGCGUAAACUCCUUUUCUUAGGGAAGAAUUCUGACGGUACCUAAGGAAUAAGCACCGGCUAACUCCGUGCCAGCAGCCGUGGUAAUACGGAGGGUGCAAGCGUUACUCGGAAUCACUGGGCGUAAAGGGCGCGUAGGCGGAUUAUCAAGUCUCUUGUGAAAUCUAAUGGCUUAACCAUUAAACUGCUUGGGAAACUGAUAGUCUAGAGUGAGGGAGAGGCAGAUGGAAUUGGUGGUGUAGGGGUAAAAUCCGUAGAUACCACCAAGAAUACCCAUUGCGAAGGCGAUCUGCUGGAACUCAACUGACGCUAAGGCGAGAAAGCGUGGGGAGCAAACAGGAUUAGAUACCCUGGUAGUCCACGCCCUAAACGAUGUACACUAGUUGUUGGGGUGCUAGUCAUCUCAGUAAUGCAGCUAACGCAUUAAGUGUACCGCCUGGGGAGUACGGUCGCAAGAUUAAAACUCAAAGGAAUAGACGGGGACCCGCACAAGCGGUGGAGCAUGUGGUUUAAUUCGAGGAUACGCGAAGAACCUUACCUGGGCUUGAUAUCCUAAGAACCUUUUAGAGAUAAGAGGGUGCUAGCUUGCUAGAACUUAGAGACAGGUGCUGCACGGCUGUCGUCAGCUCGUGUCGUGAGAUGUUGGGUUAAGUCCCGCAACGAGCGCAACCCACGUAUUUAGUUGCUAACGGUUCGGCCGAGCACUCUAAAUAGACUGCCUUCGUAAGGAGGAGGAAGGUGUGGACGACGUCAAGUCAUCAUGGCCCUUAUGCCCAGGGCGACACACGUGCUACAAUG
Molecule: ribosomal RNA, 812 nt
Filed under: uncultured Campylobacter sp.
Lineage: Bacteria; Pseudomonadati; Campylobacterota; Epsilonproteobacteria; Campylobacterales; Campylobacteraceae
Description: bacterial SSU rRNA
Rfam family: Bacterial small subunit ribosomal RNA
Source: RNAcentral